Long non-coding RNA from Cucumis melo (muskmelon), 390 nucleotides. RefSeq lists it as uncharacterized. Lineage: Eukaryota; Viridiplantae; Streptophyta; Magnoliopsida; Cucurbitales; Cucurbitaceae. The transcript is spliced from 2 exons. The record is from RefSeq and is a predicted model, not a curated record.
CUUUACUAUUUGGGCCAAAGCCCAUAAGUCAUUUCCGAUGGCUAGUUUAAGAGAUUAGGUUGUCGGACAAAAGGGACGCAAAGAGGACCUUCAACCAUUGAAGAAAAGCCUUGAAAGUCUUUUUGGAGCUGGCGAUUAAGGAUGAGAGAAUCUCAUGAAAAAAAAGGAUAGAGAGAUGGAAGAAGAGAAGAGUCUUAAAAGCAGAGCAAAGAAAAAGUGUAAGGUUUGUUUUUAUCUUGCUGUUUUCCUCUCUAUUGAUUCCCAUUUGGGCUUUUACUAAGCCCCACCAAAAUUAAUCAUCAAAUCACUUUGUUAAUGCUCCUUUGGGAGGAUGAGGAAGCUUUUAUAAAUAAUUUGAUUAUUUGUCAUUAUGGAUAUUGAAAGGGGAAA